This 224-nucleotide transfer-messenger RNA is filed under the name Oscillospiraceae. RNAcentral describes it as "HGM13222 sp900757485 Standard tmRNA". It matches the Rfam family "transfer-messenger RNA". From Rfam's summary of the family: Bacterial tmRNA, also known as 10Sa RNA or SsrA, is named for its dual tRNA and mRNA-like properties. Lineage: Bacteria; Bacillati; Bacillota; Clostridia; Eubacteriales. RNAcentral also lists the same sequence under 1 other name. The record is from RNAcentral.
GGGGGCGUAAAGGUUUCGACGGGGAUCAAUAGCCAUGAUAAGCGAGUAGAGCGGGCGAAAGCUCUUUAAUUGUCGCAAUUUAAAUAUAAACGCUAACAAUAAUAAAUUAGCUUACGCUGCUUAAGUCAGCGUUCGAAGAGGGAAUGUUAAAAGAUAAGCUACACUCGUAGAAAGUUGUGGGGAAGGGUUUUCGGACAGGAGUUCGACUCUCCUCGCCUCCACCA